GGAUGUUCCGAGGGGUGCUCCGUCAGGGAGCUGAGAUACCGCAAGCGCGCAAUCCAAGGCGGAUUGCAAGGACCGCGGUGACCCUUUGAACCUGAUCCGGGUCAUGCCGGCGAAGGGACAGGGAUGCUUCAUAAG
RNAcentral lists this non-coding RNA (135 nucleotides) under Nitrobacter winogradskyi. RNAcentral describes it as "TPP sequence". It matches the Rfam family "TPP riboswitch aptamer (THI element)". From Rfam's summary of the family: Vitamin B(1) in its active form thiamin pyrophosphate (TPP) is an essential coenzyme that is synthesised by coupling of pyrimidine and thiazole moieties in bacteria. The previously detected thiamin-regulatory element, thi box was extended, resulting in a new, highly conserved RNA secondary structure, the THI element, which is widely distributed in eubacteria and also occurs in some archaea. RNAcentral also lists the same sequence under 1 other name. The record is from RNAcentral. Lineage: Bacteria; Pseudomonadati; Pseudomonadota; Alphaproteobacteria; Hyphomicrobiales; Nitrobacteraceae.